AUAAAAAGCGCCAGGACUAUUUCGGACGGAAAAGGGAAAUAGUUGACGAGGUGGAGGUUAUCGAGGAUUUCGGCGGAUGCCUCCCGGCUGGAUAUCUCAGUCGUAGCUUUAUUCCUUAAAACAAUAAGGUGACUUGUUGGACAAAAGGAUAAAGAA
RNAcentral lists this non-coding RNA (156 nucleotides) under Oceanobacillus massiliensis. RNAcentral describes it as "glmS glucosamine-6-phosphate activated ribozyme". It matches the Rfam family "glmS glucosamine-6-phosphate activated ribozyme aptamer". Rfam says of the family: This entry contains a glucosamine-6-phosphate activated ribozyme that is found in the mRNA for GlmS. GlmS is an enzyme that uses fructose-6-phosphate and glutamine to generate glucosamine-6-phosphate. The record is from RNAcentral. Lineage: Bacteria; Bacillati; Bacillota; Bacilli; Caryophanales; Bacillaceae.